Non-coding RNA from Pelobates cultripes (western spadefoot toad), 262 nucleotides. NCBI's taxonomy places the organism in Eukaryota, Metazoa, Chordata, Amphibia, Anura, Pelobatidae. The record is from the annotation of a GenBank genome assembly.
CUAAAUACAAAGUCCCGAUUGCUCCGGCGUUCGGCAAUACGACCGGAGUUAGAAGCAGGGAAGGCUGGCGGUUCAGCGGUGUCCGCGAGUAAAAGUGUCCGCUUUUAGUUCACUGAGGCUGGGUUGAACACCGCUGGCUGUCCGGGAGCUGUAGAAUGCUGCCACCGUGCGGCAGCCAUGUGUAACCGCGACCACCCGGUAACAGUCAAUUAGGCUGCGGUUAACCGCAGCUACUGGGUGGUCAAUUGACGGCACACGCUAG